GCGUCUGUAGCUCAGCGGAUAGAGCAACGGUUUCCGGUACCGUGUGGCGGGGGUUCGAUUCCCUCCAGACGCGCUA
This 76-nucleotide transfer RNA is filed under the name Lachnospiraceae bacterium. Its description in RNAcentral is "tRNA-Arg". It matches the Rfam family "tRNA". Rfam says of the family: Transfer RNA (tRNA) molecules are approximately 80 nucleotides in length. Their secondary structure includes four short double-helical elements and three loops (D, anti-codon, and T loops). Lineage: Bacteria; Bacillati; Bacillota; Clostridia; Lachnospirales; Lachnospiraceae. The record is from RNAcentral.